This 1047-nucleotide ribosomal RNA is filed under the name Chloridium gonytrichii. Its description in RNAcentral is "SSU rRNA". It matches the Rfam family "Eukaryotic small subunit ribosomal RNA", at positions 56 to 1103 of the family's 1831-position model. Lineage: Eukaryota; Fungi; Ascomycota; Sordariomycetes; Chaetosphaeriales; Chaetosphaeriaceae. The record is from RNAcentral.
UAUUCAAGUAACAACAUUUAAGUUAGCAUUGUACUGCGAACUGCGAAUGGCUCAUUAAAUCAGUUAUCGUUUAUUUGAUAGUGCCUAUCCUACUUGGAUAACCGUGGUAAUUCUAGAGCUAAUACAUGCUAAAAAUCCCGACUUCGGAAGGGAUGCAUUUAUUGGAUACAGAACCAACGCCCUUCGGGGCUUUCUGGUGAAUCACAAUAACUUCGCGGAUCGCACGGCCUUGUGCCGGCGAUGGUUCAUUCAAAUUUCUGCCCUAUCAACUUUCGACGGCUGGGUCUUGGCCAGCCGUGGUGACAACGGGUAACGGAGGGUUAGGGCUCGACCCCGGAGAAGGAGCCUGAGAGACGGCUACUACAUCCAAGGAAGGCAGCAGGCGCGCAAAUUACCCAAUCCCGACUCGGGGAGGUAGUGACAAUAAAUACUGAUCCAGGGCUCUUUUGGGUCUUGGAAUUGGAAUGAGUACAAUUUAAAUCCCUUAACGAGGAACAAUUGGAGGGCAAGUCUGGUGCCAGCAGCCGCGGUAAUUCCAGCUCCAAUAGCGUAUAUUAAAGUUGUUGAGGUUAAAAAGCUCGUAGUUGAACCUUGGCCCCGGCUAGCUGGUCCGCCUCACCGCGAGUACUGGUUCGGCCGGGGCUUUCCCUCUGGGGAACCUCAUGCCCUUCACUGGGUGUGCUGGGGAACCAGGACUUUUACUGUGAACAAAUCAGAUCGCUCAAAGAAGGCCUUCGCUCGAAUGCAUUAGCAUGGAAUAAUAGAAUAGGACGUGCGGUUCUAUUUUGUUGGUUUCUAGGACCGCCGUAAUGAUUAAUAGGGACAGUCGGGGGCGUCCGUAUUCAAUUGUCAGAGGUGAAAUUCUUGGAUCUAUUGAAGACGAACUACUGCGAAAGCAUUCGCCAAGGAUGUUUUCAUUAAUCAGGAACGAAAGUUAGGGGAUCGAAGACGAUCAGAUACCGUCGUAGUCUUAACCAUAAACUAUGCCGAUUAGGGAUCGGACGAUGUUAUUUUUUGACUCGUUCGGCACCUUACGAUAAAUCAAAA